GGGCCUGUAGGCAAAUGGUAUACCGGUACAUUCGCAUUGUACAGUUCCGAGUUCGAUUCUCGGCAGGUCCA
RNAcentral lists this transfer RNA (71 nucleotides) under bacterium. Its description in RNAcentral is "tRNA-Ala". It matches the Rfam family "tRNA". Rfam says of the family: Transfer RNA (tRNA) molecules are approximately 80 nucleotides in length. Their secondary structure includes four short double-helical elements and three loops (D, anti-codon, and T loops). The record is from RNAcentral.